UACGUAGGGUGCGAGCGUUGUCCGGAUUUAUUGGGCGUAAAGGGCUCGUAGGCGGCUUGUCGCGUCGGAAGUGAAAGCCCACUGCUUAACGGUGGGUCUGCUUCCGGUACGGGCAGGCUGGAGUAUGGCAGGGGAGACUGGAAUUCCUGGUGUAGCGGUGGAAUGCGCAGAUAUCAGGAGGAACACCGGUGGCGAAGGCGGGUCUCUGGGCCAUUACUGACGCUGAGGAGCGAAAGCGUGGGGAGCGAACAGGAUUAGAAACCCUAGUAGUCC
This 273-nucleotide ribosomal RNA is filed under the name uncultured Actinospica sp. RNAcentral describes it as "partial 16S ribosomal RNA". It matches the Rfam family "Bacterial small subunit ribosomal RNA", at positions 524 to 796 of the family's 1533-position model. Lineage: Bacteria; Bacillati; Actinomycetota; Actinomycetes; Catenulisporales; Actinospicaceae. The record is from RNAcentral.